RNAcentral lists this ribosomal RNA (253 nucleotides) under uncultured bacterium. RNAcentral describes it as "partial 16S ribosomal RNA". It matches the Rfam family "Bacterial small subunit ribosomal RNA", at positions 524 to 776 of the family's 1533-position model. The record is from RNAcentral.
UACGAAGGGGGCUAGCGUUGCUCGGAAUCACUGGGCGUAAAGGGUGCGUAGGCGGGGUUUUUAGUCAGGGGUGAAAUCCUGGAGCUCAACUCCAGAACUGCCUUUGAUACUGGCGAGCUUGAGUUCGGGAGAGGUGAGUGGAACUGCGAGUGUAGAGGUGAAAUUCGUAGAUAUUCGCAAGAACACCAGUGGCGAAGGCGGCUCACUGGCCCGAUACUGACGCUGAGGUGCGAAAGCGUGGGGAGCAAACAGG